RNAcentral lists this ribosomal RNA (254 nucleotides) under uncultured bacterium. RNAcentral's name for it is "partial 16S ribosomal RNA". It matches the Rfam family "Bacterial small subunit ribosomal RNA", at positions 524 to 776 of the family's 1533-position model. The record is from RNAcentral.
UACGUAGGGCGCAAGCGUUAUCCGGAAUUAUUGGGCGUAAAGAGCUCGUAGGCGGUUUGUCGCGUCUGCUGUGAAAACCUGAGGCUCAACCUCGGGCUUGCAGUGGGUACGGGCAGACUAGAGUGCGGUAGGGGUGACUGGAAUUCCUGGUGUAGCGGUGGAAUGCGCAGAUAUCAGGAGGAACACCGAUGGCGAAGGCAGGUCACUGGGCCGCAACUGACGCUGGAGGAGCGAAAGCGUGGGGAGCGAACAGG